UGAAAAAUUCCCUUAGAACUUUAUUGGACCUUUAUGUACUUUCCUUUCACUGAAAAGCUUCAAGACAAAAUAAUAUUAAAAGAUAUGUUGAUAAGAUCAUUUACAACAAUAUAUAUAUGUAUAACAUUUAUUGAAUACUACAAAAAUUAUGUAUUGGUUAUAUUACAAUGUGUUUAAAAACAAAUUAAACCUAUGCAUUCUAUACUUAGACUAAGCACACAUACACACACACACACACAAGUGAAACAUCGAUAUGUUGACUUAUAAGUAUUAAGUCAAGGGAGACAAUCACCUAAAAAAAAAAAAGUUAUCUUUGU
Non-coding RNA from Biomphalaria pfeifferi, 317 nucleotides. Lineage: Eukaryota; Metazoa; Mollusca; Gastropoda; Planorbidae. The record is from the annotation of a GenBank genome assembly.